GAUGAACGCUAGCGGCAGGCUUAACACAUGCAAGUCGAGGGGCAGCGUGGAGGGUUAGCAAUAACCCUUGACGGCGACCGGCGCAAGGGUGCGUAACGCGUGAGCAACUUGCCCUUAUCGAGGGGGAUAACCGGUGGAAACGCCGACUAAUACCCCAUGGCAUUGAGUUGAGGCAUCUCUACUCAAUUAAAGAAUUUCGGAUAAGGAUAGGCUCGCGUGACAUUAGCUAGACGGCGGGGUAACGGCCCACCGUGGCGACGAUGUCUAGGGGUUCUGAGAGGAACGGUCCCCCANACUGGAACUGAGACACGGUCCAGACUCCUACGGGAGCAGCAGUGAGGAAUAUUGGCAAUGGUCUGACGACUGAACCAGCCAUGCCGCGUGAAGGUCACGGCCCUAUGGGUCUUAAACUUCUUUUGCGAGGGAGCAAUAAGGCGCACGUGUGCGUCGAUGAGAGUACCUUGCGAAUAGCAUCGGCUAACUCCGUGCCAG
Molecule: ribosomal RNA, 492 nt
Filed under: uncultured bacterium
Lineage: Bacteria
Description: bacterial SSU rRNA
Rfam family: Bacterial small subunit ribosomal RNA
Source: RNAcentral